GGAGGGUAUAGCUCAGUGGUAGAGCUCAUGCUUAGCAUGCAUGAGGUCCUAGGUUCAAUCCCCAGUACCUCCA
This 73-nucleotide transfer RNA is filed under the name Vicugna pacos (alpaca). RNAcentral's name for it is "tRNA-Ala (AGC) (tRNA-Ala-AGC-647-1)". It matches the Rfam family "tRNA". From Rfam's summary of the family: Transfer RNA (tRNA) molecules are approximately 80 nucleotides in length. The record is from RNAcentral. Lineage: Eukaryota; Metazoa; Chordata; Mammalia; Artiodactyla; Camelidae.